GGCUCCGAGGGCGGCGCCCGGCCAACUGCGUCCGCGGGUUACCACGCACGCAGCCUCGUGCCUUAACGCGCGCACACCCGCUGCUGGCCCGUUGCUGAGUUUUCGUUUCGGGGGAGCGAUAUCCGACCGUGCUGACUUGGCUUUCCUCUUGGUCCAUCCUCGUGCGUCGCUGGAGUCCAAGUGCACGGGGACGAUUGCUCUUAGAACCUAAUCACCUGCUGUGGGGGAAGCCAUGCAAGCUAUGGAAAGACCCACAUGGAAAGGAACUGAAGCCAUUAGCCCUCAGCACCAUCUACCAGACUCCACAUGCAACCAGCACCAGUUCGCCAGCCAUAUGUGUUGGCCAAAAGAGACAUCUUCUUGGAUUUGGACGGAAGAAAUGAAGCAGCAGCUAUGGCACAUGCUGAAGGACAGUGUAAAGAACCAGGUGCUGUUUCAGCUCAUGCCCCUUGUUGAUCUGCUUGUCACCUUGCUUGGUUGCGGGCAGCAGCAGUGCCUGCAGCUCCUUCAGCUCCUACUGGUUGUCCUGCAGUUAGUGGGUGGGUCCAUUGUGAAGGGUGUCUUUGCAUCAUCUAUCUGUGUGUCCUUUGUCAUGUUGAAGUCAGAGGUGGUGAGAGAUAUGUAGGUAGAGAUUGUCUUUUGGAAAUCCAGUUUAUUCCCAGGAUUCCAGUUUGUCCAGCUGACCACCAGACCACACAACUUUCCUUCCCAACUGCCAGUUCUGCCCAUCUCAAUGACUUCAAGUUUAUGAAGCAGUAACAACAGAGCUGCAUAGACUUCUUCCCAGACCCAAGAGUCACAUAAGACCUAAUACCUAUAACAAAAUCCCUUAUCACAGAUCUCUCAUAUGGAUUCUGCCUUUCUGAUGAGAUGCGUACUUGCCUGGAUGUAUUUUGUAGGAAAAAAUCCAAAGGAGUAUGGAGGACUGGGUAUAGAUAGUGAGGAAAGGGAAGAGUCAAAGUAACUAAAUCAUAAAUAAAGAUGAUGAUUUUAGUCA
Phacochoerus africanus (Common warthog) is the source of this 997-nucleotide long non-coding RNA. RefSeq lists it as uncharacterized. The record is from RefSeq and is a predicted model, not a curated record. NCBI's taxonomy places the organism in Eukaryota, Metazoa, Chordata, Mammalia, Artiodactyla, Suidae. The transcript has 3 exons.